This is a long non-coding RNA of Siniperca chuatsi (mandarin fish), 444 nucleotides long. RefSeq lists it as uncharacterized. The transcript is spliced from 2 exons. NCBI's taxonomy places the organism in Eukaryota, Metazoa, Chordata, Actinopteri, Centrarchiformes, Sinipercidae. The record is from RefSeq and is a predicted model, not a curated record.
GCUCUGCUCCUUCAGAGAGAAUCUCCUCAGAAACAGGGCAGAUACUCACAGAGAGAAGAAACAGGAUCCGUCCAUCCGAGCUGAGGCAUCGGACUGUUUGAAUGCCGACCUUCACUGAGGACAUUAAUGCUGUUCGCUUGAGUUUGGUUCCAGUUCUGUUCUGUGGAUUUAUUUGCUGUUUUGUUGUUAAUUAGUGCAAUAAAAUGCAACCGGGGGUGCGCGACCACAGAGUCAAAGGUUCCGCUUACUUUGUUCUUUUACUCACCGAUAUUAACACAGGGCGACAUAUUAUAAAUGUACAAAUAAAGCUCUUAAUUACACAAAUUAAAAUAAAGAAUGGUCUUUUACUCAAUAAUACCAAAUGUGGUCGCACAUAUUUGGGUGAACCACACAUGUCUGCGUGCUGAAAGAGGACGUGCUGGUCUGACCCCCUCCUCCUUUCAG